CCCAGACUCCUACGGGAGGCAGCAGUGGGGAAUAUUGCACAAUGGGGGGAACCCUGAUGCAGCGACGCCGCGUGGGUGAAGGAGUACUUCGGUACGUAAAGCCCUAUCAGCAGGAAAGAAAAUGACGGUACCUGACUAAGAAGCCCCGGCUAACUACGUGCCAGCAGCCGCGGUAAUACGUAGGGGGCAAGCGUUAUCCGGAUUUACUGGGUGUAAAGGGAGCGUAGACGGCAGUGCAAGUCCGGAGUGAAAGCCCGGGGCUCAACCCUGGGACUGCUCUGGAAACUGUAAAGCUGGAGUGCGGGAGGGGCAGGCGGAAUUCCUGGUGUAGCGGUGAAAUGCGUAGAUAUCAGGAGGAACACCGGCGGCGAAGGCGGCCUGCUGGACCGUAACUGACGUUGAGGCUCGAAAGCGUGGGGAGCAAACAGGAUUAGAUACCCUGGUAG
RNAcentral lists this ribosomal RNA (446 nucleotides) under uncultured bacterium. Its description in RNAcentral is "bacterial SSU rRNA". It matches the Rfam family "Bacterial small subunit ribosomal RNA", at positions 330 to 793 of the family's 1533-position model. The record is from RNAcentral.